UACAGAGGGGGCAAGCGUUGUUCGGAAUUACUGGGCGUAAAGGGCGCGUAGGCGGCCUGUUAAGUCGAACGUGAAAUCCCCGGGCUCAACCCGGGAACUGCGUCCGAAACUGGCAGGCUCGAAUUCGGGAGAGGGAUGCGGAAUUCCAGGUGUAGCGGUGAAAUGCGUAGAUAUCUGGAGGAACAUCGGUGGCGAAGGCGGCAUCCUGGACCGAUAUUGACGCUGAGGCGCGAAAGCCAGGGGAGCAAAC
This 250-nucleotide ribosomal RNA is filed under the name uncultured bacterium. RNAcentral's name for it is "partial 16S ribosomal RNA". It matches the Rfam family "Bacterial small subunit ribosomal RNA", at positions 524 to 773 of the family's 1533-position model. The record is from RNAcentral.